GCGGGGCCGGCCCGACCAGCACCCGGCUGCCUCUUCAAAGCCAGAAACAAAAGAGAGAUUUCCUGGGCUUGCCGGUCUUUAAAACACCUCAAAAAUCUACAAGAUCUUACACAAAUCUUCAGUGGUGAACAACACGGUGGUCUGUUUCCUAGCCUUUGGCACAUAAAUGUUUUAUUCUCUUUCAA
Parus major (Great Tit) is the source of this 185-nucleotide long non-coding RNA. RefSeq lists it as uncharacterized. The transcript has 2 exons. The record is from RefSeq and is a predicted model, not a curated record. NCBI's taxonomy places the organism in Eukaryota, Metazoa, Chordata, Aves, Passeriformes, Paridae.